UACGGGGGGAGCAAGCGUUGUUCGGAUUUACUGGGCGUAAAGGGCGCGUAGGCGGUCAGCACAAGUCAGUUGUGAAAUCUCCGGGCUUAACUCGGAAAGGUCAACUGAUACUGUGCGACUAGAGUGCAGAAGGGGCAACUGGAAUUCUCGGUGUAGCGGUGAAAUGCGUAGAGAUCGGGAAGAACAUCGGUGGCGAAAGCGCUCUGCUGGACUGCAACUGACACUCAGGGACGAAAGCUAGGGGAGCGAAUGGG
RNAcentral lists this ribosomal RNA (254 nucleotides) under uncultured bacterium. RNAcentral describes it as "partial 16S ribosomal RNA". It matches the Rfam family "Bacterial small subunit ribosomal RNA", at positions 524 to 776 of the family's 1533-position model. The record is from RNAcentral.